Long non-coding RNA from Trichosurus vulpecula (common brushtail), 230 nucleotides. RefSeq lists it as uncharacterized. NCBI's taxonomy places the organism in Eukaryota, Metazoa, Chordata, Mammalia, Diprotodontia, Phalangeridae. The transcript is spliced from 3 exons. The record is from RefSeq and is a predicted model, not a curated record.
CAGCCAGGGACACUUAACAAGCAGCAUGAUCCUGGAAACCUAGCUGAACCAGCCUCUCUCACAAUGGAUAAAAGCCCUUCUCAGAUGUGUCCGCCUCCUGUCCUCUGACACCACUACCACCCUGGCCCUGGCCCUCAUCACCUCAUGCCUAGACUAUUGCAACAGCUCCAUGGUUGGUCUCCCUGCCUCAAAUCCAUUUCAUCUACCACUCAGCCGUCAAAGUGAUCUUC